GACGAACGCUGGCGGCGUGCCUAAUACAUGCAAGUCGAGCGGACUUUCAAGAAGCUUGCUUUUUGAAAGUUAGCGGCGGACGGGUGAGUAACACGUGGGCAACCUGCCUGCAAGACGGGGAUAACUCCGGGAAACCGGGGCUAAUACCGGAUAAUAUCUUCCUUCGCAUGAAGGAAGGUUGAAAGGCGGCGCAAGCUGCCGCUUGCAGAUGGGCCCGCGGCGCAUUAGCUAGUUGGUGAGGUAACGGCUCACCAAGGCGACGAUGCGUAGCCGACCUGAGAGGGUGAUCGGCCACACUGGGACUGAGACACGGGCCAGACUCCUACGGGAGGCAGCAGUAGGGAAUCUUCCGCAAUGGACGAAAGUCUGACGGAGCAACGCCGCGUGAGCGAAGAAGGUCUUCGGAUCGUAAAGCUCUGUUGUCAGGGAAGAACAAGUACCGUUCGAACAGGGCGGUACCUUGACGGUACCUGACCAGAAAGCCACGGCUAACUACGUG
This 499-nucleotide ribosomal RNA is filed under the name uncultured bacterium. RNAcentral describes it as "partial 16S ribosomal RNA". It matches the Rfam family "Bacterial small subunit ribosomal RNA", at positions 28 to 507 of the family's 1533-position model. The record is from RNAcentral.